RNAcentral lists this ribosomal RNA (715 nucleotides) under uncultured Bacilli bacterium. Its description in RNAcentral is "bacterial SSU rRNA". It matches the Rfam family "Bacterial small subunit ribosomal RNA", at positions 59 to 755 of the family's 1533-position model. Lineage: Bacteria; Bacillati; Bacillota; Bacilli. The record is from RNAcentral.
AAGUCGAGCGAACCGAUAAGAAGCUUGCUUUUUGUUGGUUAGCGGCGGACGGGUGAGUAACACGUGGGUAACCUGCCUGUAAGACCGGGAUAACUCCGGGAAACCGGUGCUAAUACCGGAUAGAUUAUCUUUCCGCCUGGAGAGAUAAGGAAAGAUGGCUUUUGCCAUCACUUACAGAUGGGCCCGCGGCGCAUUAGCUAGUUGGUGAGGUAACGGCUCACCAAGGCGACGAUGCGUAGCCGACCUGAGAGGGUGAUCGGCCACACUGGGACUGAGACACGGCCCAGACUCCUACGGGAGGCAGCAGUAGGGAAUCUUCCGCAAUGGACGAAAGUCUGACGGAGCAACGCCGCGUGAGCGAAGAAGGUCUUCGGAUCGUAAAGCUCUGUUGUUAGGGAAGAACAAGUAUCGGAGGAAAUGCCGGUACCUUGACGGUACCUGACGAGAAAGCCACGGCUAACUACGUGCCAGCAGCCGCGGUAAUACGUAGGUGGCAAGCGUUGUCCGGAUUUAUUGGGCGUAAAGCGCGCGCAGGCGGUCCUUUAAGUCUGAUGUGAAAUCUUGUGGCUCAACCGCAAGCGGUCAUUGGAAACUGGGGGACUUGAGUGCAGAAGAGGAAAGCGGAAUUCCACGUGUAGCGGUGAAAUGCGUAGAGAUGUGGAGGAACACCAGUGGCGAAGGCGGCUUUCUGGUCUGUAACUGACGCUGAGGCGCG